AGCGGCGAACGGGUGAGUAAUGUAUCGGAACGUACCCAGUCGUGGGGGAUAACUAUCCGAAAGGAUAGCUAAUACCGCAUACGUCCUGAGGGAGAAAGCGGGGGACCGAAAGGCCUCGCGCGAUUGGAGCGGCCGAUAUCGGAUUAGCUAGUUGGUGAGGUAAAGGCUCACCAAGGCGACGAUCCGUAGCUGGUCUGAGAGGACGACCAGCCACACUGGAACUGAGACACGGUCCAGACUCCUACGGGAGGCAGCAGUGGGGAAUUUUGGACAAUGGGGGCAACCCUGAUCCAGCCAUUCCGCGUGAGUGAAGAAGGCCUUCGGGUUGUAAAGCUCUUUCAGCAGGAACGAAACGGUGGCUCCUAAUACGAGUUACUAAUGACGGUACCUGAAGAAGAAGCACCGGCUAACUCCGUGCCAGCAGCCGCGGUAAUACGGAGGGUGCGAGCGUUAAUCGGAAUUACUGGGCGUAAAGCGUGCGUAGGCGGUUCGUUAAGUCAGAUGUGAAAGCCCCGGGCUCAACCUGGGAACUGCAUUUGAAACUGGCGGACUAGAGUUUAGUAGAGGGGAGUGGAAUUUCAGGUGUAGCGGUGAAAUGCGUAGAUAU
This 607-nucleotide ribosomal RNA is filed under the name uncultured bacterium. RNAcentral describes it as "bacterial SSU rRNA". It matches the Rfam family "Bacterial small subunit ribosomal RNA", at positions 94 to 697 of the family's 1533-position model. The record is from RNAcentral.